RNAcentral lists this long non-coding RNA (2928 nucleotides) under Sus scrofa (pig). RNAcentral's name for it is "lncRNA (ENSSSCG00040074585.1)". The record is from RNAcentral. Lineage: Eukaryota; Metazoa; Chordata; Mammalia; Artiodactyla; Suidae.
GGGCUGCACCUGUGGCAUAUGGAAGUUCCCUGGCUGGGGGUGGAAUCAGAGCUGUAGCUGCCAGCCUACACCACAGUCACAGCAAUGCCAGAUCCAGUUGUACUGUGACAUAUGCUGCAGCUUGUGGCAAUGCCCGGAUCCUUAACCCACUGAGUGAGGCCAGGGAUCGAAUCUGCAUCCUCACAGAUACUUGUCAGAUUCUCAACCCAAUGAGCCACGAGGGGAACUCUCCAAACUCUUUCUUUCACCAGUUAAGACAAAAUAGGAAAAGGCAUUCUCUGCUGGGCUAUUUUUAUUGAUUUUUCAUCUUCCCUAAACCUAAUACAUGUUACUGCUUUGAUAAAAGAGGAGCUAGUAUUAUUCUUGGGUUUGCGUAGACGUGUUUGUGCUUUAUUUAUUCUAACUGCUGCUCUGGGUAGAUUUCCACGUGCUACCUGAAUAUAAACAAGUGUGCGUAUAUCAGAUACAAACUACUACCCAUGGUGGGAAAGACUGCUAGACAUUUAUCCGAAAUCUCUUUCCUUUUCUCUCUGGAUACACAACUGGAAGCGCUUUGGAGGGAAGCCACUGGCUGACCAGGGACAUCCACCUUGGGCUCCAACUUGAGCAAGAAAUUAAUUCCUGUUGUGUUGAAACUGUAACACAUUUUUGGUUCUACUUGUGCAGCAGUUUAUCUUAACUUACAAAUACCUCACAAUCAAAUUAUAUAUGAAGACACACACACACAGAAACACACACACAACUUAGACCCACCACAUGGUAUGUGAUUCCCAAGUCUAACCAUCAAUACACCACAAUGGUAACUUCUGUGCCUCCAAAAGUAUGAGAACAGUUUGAAAGGAAGAUUAUGAUGGUGCAAAAGCAAUGUUUCCUUUGAUAGAAUUUAAGCAUGAUUAACAAACCAAACACAUUUUUAGAAGUUACAUAUGAAUCAACUCGGCUUUCCUAAUUUUGAAAGCUAGCUGGAACACAGAUGAUUCCCGUUUGGGCCAGAAUCAUUUUAAUCUGCUUAGACUAAGUCAGUUUUGACAAAUGGAAAUAAUAUCAAAUAGUCCUAAAUAAUUCCAAAAUACAAUUCUAUGAGUGAGCAUGAACAUAAAUGCCAGAUGUUAAUGAGGAAAAACAUAAAUUCUCUUCAUUUAAAAAAAAAAUCUCAUUCGCAUCCAUUUGAUUAUAAAGCUCUUUGGGGGAGAUACUCAUUCCAUCUCCACAAACCACGUAAGCAGUCAGGCUUAAAUCUUGUAGGCUUAAAUCCUGGCAGCAAAAUUAUCAGAAAGGACACUCGCCUCUUCCGAUCAGAGAUCUAAGGCUUUGAAGUCAUGCUCAGCUCCAAGAAGGCAGAGGAGAAUGGAGGAGGAUACUGGCCUGCUGGAAGUAACGGGACAUUUGGAAAGACCCACCAUCUGUCAUUCCUGGGAAUAAAGCUGGGAAGGGUGAGCAGAACUUUUGCCAAUGUUAGUUUUCUAGAACAUGCCAUGGGCAUGGUUAGUGAGAAAGAGAGGGAAAAAACAACUGGUGAGCAUUUCUGGCUGCAAGACAAGAUUCAAAUAAGCUGUUUAGCCUUUGGUUGCAGCAUUCUCAAACAUCAUAAAGAUUUCAGCUCUUGUAAAAGAGGAGCCAGUUGUUUACAAUAGACUCUUCUGGAGGGAGUGGGUGUGUCUCACCAGGCAAAUAUUUGCCCAUAGGAGGUAAUAAAAUAGUAUUAAGCUCUUACCCCACUGCUGUACGUGGUCAUCAAUGUGCUUAGCUCACUCAAGUCUAUUUUAAGAUCCUGACAGGCACAAACAUUAACAAGAACCUGGCAUUUCUCCUUAAGAAUGUAUAAUCGACCUUUCAAGUCCGUAAUCUCGUUUAUCAAAGCGGAUGGCAGGGAUUUAUGCAGAAUAGUUUGCACACCUCUUUGAUUUCGGCCCCCUGAGAACCCAAACAUGCAUCCCACCCAAUCCUGUUUUAUUUUCGCCAUAUCCUGUGUUGUUGAAUGGGCCUCUUAUAAAAAUGCAAUGUAAUGCCCCCCCUUCCAGUUUUUUUUUCUGAAGUUCUAAACAAAUCUUACAUCAGUUUCGUAAAAUGUGCAGUUCUCUUACAUUCCUUGGGCAGACUUUAAAGGUCAAGGCUCUAAAGAGUUUGAGAAAUCUGUUUGCAUGGACCAGGACCCACAUGGGUGAAAGCAAGAAAGCAACGCGACGGACAGUUAAGCAAGCAGUGAGGGCAAACACGUGCUCCAGAAAAUGCAGGAUAGAGGUGGGUGGGAGGAUGCAGACCUGCGGUUUUCUUAAUCAUUCACCCUUGACUUAUGAACCAAAAGGACACUGUAAGAGCUGGAAAGUGAAACAGGAUCAGGGCCUGACUGCCCCCAUCAGAGCUAGAUCCAGCCAUUAAAACUCCCCUCAGCAUUUUCUAGUCUCUGCUUUGAGCAUCGAGCUCAACCCCUUCUCAUCUCAUAGGACCUCCAAGCACCAUCAAGUGAAAUAAAUUUUUUCAUAAACAGUCAUAAAAGCAUUUCUCAUAAACAUCCAUUCUUUAACUCUAAAUUACCUUUCAAGUUGGUUCAGGUGCUAACAAGAAUCCAAACCUUUGUAUGGGGCUGAAUGGUGUGCACAAAUCCAAAGAAAGACACCAAAGGAGCACUCAGCUCUGUUGCUAUAAAACUAAUAAAGAGCGAAAUAAACACAAUACAUUCCAGAGAAAGCCGGCGCUCAGAGGUUAGAUGCAUGACUCAAAGCAGCAGGCUCCCCAUAUCAAGAGUAGUCGGAAGACUGGGGUGUGAGGCUAGGAAGGGGAUUACAUGUCAUAAGAAAAAGGAAAUUAUGUUGAUAAUGAUUCCUGGAGUCAAUGCCAGCAACUUCAGCCAACUUGCCUGCAGCCUCAUCAAAAUGUGCCAAAUGUAGGUCCAAUGCUGUCAGGAUUAAGAACAUUCUUCACGCAGAU